AUUGAACGCUGGCGGCAGGCCUAACACAUGCAAGUCGAGCGAGCGGCGGACGGGUGAGUAAUGUAUGGGGACUGCCCGGUAGAGGGGGAUCACUACUGGAAAAGGUGGCUAAUACCGCAUACUAUCGGAUAACCCAUAUGGGAUUAGCUAGUGGGGGGGGUAAAGGCUCACCUAGGCGACGAUCUCUAGCUGGUCUGAGAGGAUGAUCAGCCACACUGGGACUGAGACACGGCCCAGACUCCUACGGAGGCAGCAGUGGGGAAUAUUGGACAAUGGGCGAAAGCCUGAUGCAGCCAUCCCGAGUGUAGGAUGAAGGCCUUAGGGUUGUAAAGUACUUUCAGCGGAGAGGCGGUACCCGCAGAAGAAGCACCGGCUAACUCCGUGCCAGCAGCCGCGGUAAUAC
RNAcentral lists this ribosomal RNA (403 nucleotides) under uncultured bacterium. RNAcentral describes it as "partial 16S ribosomal RNA". It matches the Rfam family "Bacterial small subunit ribosomal RNA", at positions 30 to 526 of the family's 1533-position model. The record is from RNAcentral.